GAUCAUGGCUCAGGAUGAACGCUGGCGGCGUGCCUAACACAUGCAAGUCGAGCGGGAAACCUUUGAAUGAACCUUCGGGGGAAUGAGAAGGCGGAGAGCGGCGGACGGGUGAGUAACGCGUAGGCAACCUGCCCUUUGCAGAGGGAUAGCCACUGGAAACGGUGAUUAAAACCUCAUAACGCCGAGAGUUCACAUGGACUUUUGGUCAAAGAUUUAUCGGCAAAGGAUGGGCCUGCGUCUGAUUAG
RNAcentral lists this ribosomal RNA (246 nucleotides) under uncultured bacterium. RNAcentral's name for it is "partial 16S ribosomal RNA". It matches the Rfam family "Bacterial small subunit ribosomal RNA", at positions 15 to 244 of the family's 1533-position model. The record is from RNAcentral.